This 634-nucleotide long non-coding RNA is filed under the name Canis lupus familiaris (dog). RNAcentral's name for it is "lncRNA (ENSCAFG00000059394.1, ENSCAFG00845020131.1)". The record is from RNAcentral. Lineage: Eukaryota; Metazoa; Chordata; Mammalia; Carnivora; Canidae.
CUUGAAACCAGACGUCCUCCCAACUAGCAGCCAGGCUGCCAGCUGAAACAAGUGUGACCAGGUUGGAGAAACAGGGAGAGACAGUCUUAGCCAACCUGAUUUCUUUCUCAGAAAAAAAUCACAGGAUACACCUACAGAGGCUUUGUGAUUUCAUCCAGUUCCCAUGUCACCUCCGAGAGCUGUUCUCAGAUGAUCAACAACCCACAGCUAAUAUUUACUAAGUGCUUGCUCUUGAUGUCGAGUGACUGGUGCUCAGUAGACACUGGUUUCCUCCCUUCCUUCCUGGCUGCUUUGAAGAGAAUAACAGAGGAGAUCACCAAAGCUUCCCAGACCGGAGUGAUUUUUUUAAAUACCAAAGAAAAAUCAGAAGAAUUGGGUUUGAAGCCAGACUUCGCCAUUGACCAGCAGCACCCUGAGAGGAAGUGUGGGGAGCCCGUCACAACCUUUAGGUAUCAUCUUUCCCUGAUGUGGGGUACCUGGCCUGGUGGUUUAGUGGCCACGUCCUGCAGGUGGACUGCCUGGUCCAAGCUCCAGCAUCACCAUCGCCAGCUAGUGAACCCUGGCUGAGUUCCUUCCUACGUCUAUCUCUCAAGUUUUCUUUUUGGAAAAAUGUGAGUAAUGACUGUGCCUCCUC